This 538-nucleotide ribosomal RNA is filed under the name Psolidium sp. AKM-2016. RNAcentral's name for it is "partial 16S ribosomal RNA". It matches the Rfam family "Bacterial large subunit ribosomal RNA", at positions 1810 to 2608 of the family's 2925-position model. Lineage: Eukaryota; Metazoa; Echinodermata; Holothuroidea; Dendrochirotida; Psolidae. The record is from RNAcentral.
AAAACAUAGCCCCUUGAAUAUAUAUGGGGUAAAGCCUGCCCAAUGGAAAUAUCUAAAUGGCCGCGGUAUCUUGACCGUGCAAAGGUAGCAUAAUCACUUGUCUCUUAAAUAGGGACUAGUAUGAAUGGCACAACAUUUUCUAACUGUCUCCUCUCUUUUCCUCUUAAACUUCUAUUAACGUGAAGAAGCGUUACUAAAAAAGAAAGACGAGAAGACCCUGUCGAGCUUUAACUUCUAACCAGAAAGUAUUGUCUUUCUAAAGAUUACUACAACUAGCUAGAAGUUUUGGUUGGGGCAACCAUGGAGAAAAACAAACCUCCAGAAAUUAAAAAAGAUAUUUUUAUCAUUUAUAAACUUUAUAAAGAACCAUAAAUAAUGACUCACAGAAAUAGUUACCGCAGGGAUAACAGCGUCAUCUCCUUUAAGAGUUCACAUUGACAAGGAGGAUUGCGACCUCGAUGUUGGAUUGGGGCUACCAAAGGGUGCAGCAGCUCUUUUAGGUUGGACUGUUCGUCCAAUAAUACCCCACGUGAUCUGA